UACAGAGGGUGCGAGCGUUAAUCGGAAUUACUGGGCGUAAAGGGCGCGUAGGUGGAUGCGUAAGUCGGAUGUGAAAUCCCUGGGCUUAACCUGGGAAUGGCAUACGAUACUGGGCAUCUAGAGUUGAGUAGAGGGAAGUGGAAUUUCCGGUGUAGCGGUGAAAUGCGUAGAUAUCGGAAGGAACACCAGUGGCGAAGGCGGCUUCCUGGACUCAAACUGACGCUGAGGCGCGAAAGCGUGGGGAGCAAACAGG
Molecule: ribosomal RNA, 253 nt
Filed under: uncultured bacterium
Lineage: Bacteria
Description: partial 16S ribosomal RNA
Rfam family: Bacterial small subunit ribosomal RNA
Source: RNAcentral